This 74-nucleotide transfer RNA is filed under the name Camelus bactrianus (Bactrian camel). It matches the Rfam family "tRNA". Rfam says of the family: Transfer RNA (tRNA) molecules are approximately 80 nucleotides in length. Their secondary structure includes four short double-helical elements and three loops (D, anti-codon, and T loops). RNAcentral also lists the same sequence under 2 other names. The record is from Rfam by way of RNAcentral. Lineage: Eukaryota; Metazoa; Chordata; Mammalia; Artiodactyla; Camelidae.
GCAGGGAUAGCUCAGUGGUAGAGAGCAUGCUUAGCAUGCACAAAAGGUCCUGGGUUCAAUCCCCAGUACCUCCA